This 430-nucleotide ribosomal RNA is filed under the name uncultured bacterium. Its description in RNAcentral is "bacterial SSU rRNA". It matches the Rfam family "Bacterial small subunit ribosomal RNA", at positions 355 to 776 of the family's 1533-position model. The record is from RNAcentral.
UAGGGAAUAUUGCGCAAUGGGGGAAACCCUGACGCAGCAACGCCGCGUGAGUGAGGAAGGUCUUCGGAUUGUAAAACUCUUUUAUUUGGGAAAAAUGACUUAGUGGCUAAUAUCCAUUAGGAGUGAUGGUACCAAAGGAAUAAGCACCGGCUAACUUCGUGCCAGCAGCCGCGGUAAUACGAAGGGUGCAAGCGUUGUUCGGAAUCAUUGGGCGUAAAGCGCGCGCAGGCGGAUCAGCAAGUCAGAUGUGAAAUCUCGAAGCUCAACUUCGAAACUGCGUCUGAAACUGCUAGUCUAGAGUGUCGGAGGGGGUAGGGGAAUUUCACGUGUAGGGGUAAAAUCCGUAGAGAUGUGAAGGAACACCGGGGGCGAAGGCGCCUACCUGGACGACUACUGACGCUGAGGCGCGAAAGCGUGGGGAGCAAACAGG